UUCUUUUUCCACCGGAGCUUGCUCCACCGGAAAAAGAGGAGUGGCGAACGGGUGAGUAACACGUGGGUAACCUGCCCAUCAGAAGGGGAUAACACUUGGAAACAGGUGCUAAUACCGUAUAACAAUCGAAACCGCAUGGUUUUGAUUUGAAAGGCGCUUUCGGGUGUCACUGAUGGAUGGACCCGCGGUGCAUUAGCUAGUUGGUGAGGUAACGGCUCACCAAGGCCACGAUGCAUAGCCGACCUGAGAGGGUGA
RNAcentral lists this ribosomal RNA (255 nucleotides) under Enterococcus faecium. RNAcentral describes it as "partial 16S ribosomal RNA". It matches the Rfam family "Bacterial small subunit ribosomal RNA", at positions 69 to 303 of the family's 1533-position model. Lineage: Bacteria; Bacillati; Bacillota; Bacilli; Lactobacillales; Enterococcaceae. The record is from RNAcentral.